This 699-nucleotide ribosomal RNA is filed under the name Streptococcus sp. HGH0058. RNAcentral's name for it is "bacterial SSU rRNA". It matches the Rfam family "Bacterial small subunit ribosomal RNA", at positions 75 to 760 of the family's 1533-position model. The record is from RNAcentral. Lineage: Bacteria; Bacillati; Bacillota; Bacilli; Lactobacillales; Streptococcaceae.
AGAGCUUGCUCUUCUUGGAUGAGUUGCGAACGGGUGAGUAACGCGUAUGUAACCUGCCUUGUAGCGGGGGAUAACUAUUGGAAACGAUAGCUAAUACCGCAUAACAAUGGAUGACUCAUGUCAUUUAUUUGAAAGGGGCAAUUGCUCCACUACAAGAUGGACCUGCGUUGUAUUAGCUAGUAGGUGAGGUAACGGCUCACCUAGGCGACGAUACAUAACCGACCUGAGAGGGUGAUCGGCCACACUGGGACUGAGACACGGCCCAGACUCCUACGGGAGGCAGCAGUAGGGAAUCUUCGGCAAUGGGGGCAACCCUGACCGAGCAACGCCGCGUGAGUGAAAAAGGUUUUCGGAUCGUAAAACUCUGUUGUAAGUCAAGAACGAGUGUGAGAGUGGAAAGUUCACACUGUGACGGUAGCUUACCAGAAAGGGACGGCUAACUACGUGCCAGCAGCCGCGGUAAUACGUAGGUCCCGAGCGUUGUCCGGAUUUAUUGGGCGUAAAGCGAGCGCAGGCGGUUUGAUAAGUCUGAAGUUAAAGGCUGUGGCUCAACCAUAGUUCGCUUUGGAAACUGUCAAACUUGAGUGCAGAAGGGGAGAGUGGAAUUCCAUGUGUAGCGGUGAAAUGCGUAGAUAUAUGGAGGAACACCGGUGGCGAAAGCGGCUCUCUGGUCUGUAACUGACGCUGAGGCUCGAAAGC